This 22-nucleotide microRNA is filed under the name Ciona intestinalis (vase tunicate). RNAcentral's name for it is "cin-miR-132-5p". Its record names the gene cin-miR-132-5p. Lineage: Eukaryota; Metazoa; Chordata; Ascidiacea; Phlebobranchia; Cionidae. The record is from miRBase by way of RNAcentral.
UAUGGCUUUUACAUUCCUGUGU